UGGCUUAGAGGGUAAAGCAUCUGCCUGCAAUGCAGGAGACCCAGGUUUGAUCCCUGG
This 57-nucleotide transfer RNA is filed under the name Bos taurus (domestic cattle). It matches the Rfam family "tRNA", at positions 8 to 63 of the family's 71-position model. Rfam says of the family: Transfer RNA (tRNA) molecules are approximately 80 nucleotides in length. Their secondary structure includes four short double-helical elements and three loops (D, anti-codon, and T loops). Further hydrogen bonds mediate the characteristic L-shaped molecular structure. tRNAs have two regions of fundamental functional importance: the anti-codon, which is responsible for specific mRNA codon recognition, and the 3' end, to which the tRNAs corresponding amino acid is attached (by aminoacyl-tRNA synthetases). tRNAs cope with the degeneracy of the genetic code in two manners: having more than one tRNA (with a specific anti-codon) for a particular amino acid; and 'wobble' base-pairing, i.e. permitting non-standard base-pairing at the 3rd anti-codon position. Lineage: Eukaryota; Metazoa; Chordata; Mammalia; Artiodactyla; Bovidae. The record is from Rfam by way of RNAcentral. RNAcentral also lists the same sequence under 2 other names.